This 222-nucleotide ribosomal RNA is filed under the name Triticum aestivum (bread wheat). RNAcentral describes it as "partial small subunit ribosomal RNA". The record is from RNAcentral. Lineage: Eukaryota; Viridiplantae; Streptophyta; Magnoliopsida; Poales; Poaceae.
AGACUUAUAAACACCAUGACGAUCCCGAGGUUGAUUCACAUUUGAAAAAUUAAGAUGUCAUUGAAUAUCAAGGUGUUUAUGUUGUUUUUGCAUAAGGGAGUCAUUUUGACAAUGAAUAACUUGGCAAAGCGUAGCUGGGAAGGUAGUAAAUGUUCUUGCUUUUAUGAUCAGGAUGAAACAAUAGAACAUUUGUUUCUACUUUGCCCACUUGCAGUGUCUUGA